This 119-nucleotide ribosomal RNA is filed under the name Pteropus alecto (black flying fox). The record is from RNAcentral. Lineage: Eukaryota; Metazoa; Chordata; Mammalia; Chiroptera; Pteropodidae.
GUCUGUGGCCCUGCCACCCUGAACAAGCCCGAUCUCAUCUGAUCUCGGAAGCUAAGCAGGGUCGGGCCUGGUUAGUACUUAGAUGGGAGACCACCUAGGAAGACCAGGUGCCAUAGGCG